GUGGGGAAUAUUGGACAAUGGGGGGAACCCUGAUCCAGCCAUGCCGCGUGUGUGAAGAAGGCCUUUUGGUUGUAAAGCACUUUAAGCGAGGAGGAGGCUACCGAGAUUAAUACUCUUGGAUAGUGGACGUUACUCGCAGAAUAAGCACCGGCUAACUCUGUGCCAGCAGCCGCGGUAAUACAGAGGGUGCAAGCGUUAAUCGGAUUUACUGGGCGUAAAGCGCGCGUAGGUGGCCAAUUAAGUCAAAUGUGAAAUCCCCGAGCUUAACUUGGGAAUUGCAUUCGAUACUGGUGGGCUAGAGUAUGGGAGAGGAUGGUAGAAUUCCAGGUGUAGCGGUGAAAUGCGUAGAGAUCUGGAGGAAUACCGAUGGCGAAGGCAGCCAUCUGGCCUAAUACUGACACUGAGGUGCGAAAGCAUGGGGAGCAAACAGGAUUAGAUACCCCAGUAGUCC
This 451-nucleotide ribosomal RNA is filed under the name uncultured bacterium. RNAcentral describes it as "partial 16S ribosomal RNA". It matches the Rfam family "Bacterial small subunit ribosomal RNA", at positions 354 to 796 of the family's 1533-position model. The record is from RNAcentral.